Molecule: small nucleolar RNA, 194 nt
Filed under: Plasmodium falciparum 3D7
Lineage: Eukaryota; Apicomplexa; Aconoidasida; Haemosporida; Plasmodiidae
Description: Pfa-snoR33
Rfam family: RNA of unknown function RUF4
Source: RNAcentral
AGUCCCUUUUUGAAGGGAAAGAAAUUAUGUAUACACCUCAUGUGUAUAUAGACAAUUUUUUUUCCCAUAUAUUCACUUGUAAAAAGGGUAAAUAAAUUUUAUAAUUUAAUCACAUGUGUAUUUUUAUUUUAUUUAUAAGUUUUUUAUGAAUAAAAUUAGUAGUAAUAUACAUGCUUCGUGCGAUAAAGACAUUU